CAUCAAUAGAAAUAUUUGUAAAAGAACAUUAAGCUUGAUGGCCAGUGUUCUUUAUAAUAAUACAUUUUUAUUACGUGGUAUGAAAUGAUUCAAAAAACAUGUAUAAAUAAUAGGAAGUAGAGCUGGCCUGUUAUAUGUUAGGAGAAGGAGGAACGAAACGUAAUUGGUGGUUAUCUGCCCCAGCUAGUGUGGCCCCGUCCUUUUUCUAUUAGUAAUAAAAAUUUUACUAUACCAUAUGAAAUUGCACAACAAUUGAACAUCUAGAAUGAAAAAGGGCAUGCUGAAGAUGACCGUUACUUCAGACGUGGAGUUGUCAUCUUGAAUGAGAACGGGAUGUUGGUGACUUCCAUAUGCAUACACAUCUUGCAAGAGCAGAGGGCACUUGGAUAGGUCCUAUAAUCUGUAGAAAUAAGUACGAUACAAAAACAUUGGAAAAGUUGAG
Non-coding RNA from Pelobates cultripes (western spadefoot toad), 442 nucleotides. The record is from the annotation of a GenBank genome assembly. NCBI's taxonomy places the organism in Eukaryota, Metazoa, Chordata, Amphibia, Anura, Pelobatidae.